Molecule: ribosomal RNA, 274 nt
Filed under: uncultured bacterium
Lineage: Bacteria
Description: partial 16S ribosomal RNA
Rfam family: Bacterial small subunit ribosomal RNA
Source: RNAcentral
AUACGGAGGGGGCUAGCGUUGUUCGGAAUUACUGGGCGUAAAGCGCGCGUAGGCGGGCUGGUCAGUUGGGGGUGAAAUCCCGAGGCUUAACCUCGGAACUGCCCUCAAUACUGCCAGUCUUGAGUUCGAGAGAGGUGAGUGGAAUUCCUAGUGUAGAGGUGAAAUUCGUAGAUAUUAGGAAGAACACCAGUGGCGAAGGCGGCUCACUGGCUCGAUACUGACGCUGAGGCGCGAAAGCGUGGGGAGCAAACAGGAUUAGAAACCCCGGUAGUCC